RNAcentral lists this ribosomal RNA (775 nucleotides) under Salmonella enterica subsp. enterica serovar Mbandaka. RNAcentral describes it as "partial 23S ribosomal RNA". It matches the Rfam family "Bacterial large subunit ribosomal RNA", at positions 416 to 1190 of the family's 2925-position model. Lineage: Bacteria; Pseudomonadati; Pseudomonadota; Gammaproteobacteria; Enterobacterales; Enterobacteriaceae. The record is from RNAcentral.
GGCGGGACACGUGGUAUCCUGUCUGAAUAUGGGGGGACCAUCCUCCAAGGCUAAAUACUCCUGACUGACCGAUAGUGAACCAGUACCGUGAGGGAAAGGCGAAAAGAACCCCGGCGAGGGGAGUGAAAAAGAACCUGAAACCGUGUACGUACAAGCAGUGGGAGCACAGGUUUACCUGUGUGACUGCGUACCUUUUGUAUAAUGGGUCAGCGACUUAUAUUCUGUAGCAAGGUUAACCGUAUAGGGGAGCCGUAGGGAAACCGAGUCUUAACCGGGCGUUAAGUUGCAGGGUAUAGACCCGAAACCCGGUGAUCUAGCCAUGGGCAGGUUGAAGGUUGGGUAACACUAACUGGAGGACCGAACCGACUAAUGUUGAAAAAUUAGCGGAUGACCUGUGGCUGGGGGUGAAAGGCCAAUCAAACCGGGAGAUAGCUGGUUCUCCCCGAAAGCUAUUUAGGUAGCGCCUCGUGAAUUCAUCUCCGGGGGUAGAGCACUGUUUCGGCUAGGGGGCCAUCCCGGCUUACCAACCCGAUGCAAACUGCGAAUACCGGAGAAUGUUAUCACGGGAGACACACGGCGGGUGCUAACGUCCGUCGUGAAGAGGGAAACAACCCAGACCGCCAGCUAAGGUCCCAAAGUCAUGGUUAAGUGGGAAACGAUGUGGGAAGGCCCAGACAGCCAGGAUGUUGGCUUAGAAGCAGCCAUCAUUUAAAGAAAGCGUAAUAGCUCACUGGUCGAGUCGGCCUGCGCGGAAGAUGUAACGGGGCUAAACCAU